This 500-nucleotide ribosomal RNA is filed under the name uncultured bacterium. RNAcentral's name for it is "partial 16S ribosomal RNA". It matches the Rfam family "Bacterial small subunit ribosomal RNA", at positions 30 to 523 of the family's 1533-position model. The record is from RNAcentral.
AUUGAACGCUGGCGGAAUGCCUUACACAUGCAAGUCGAACGGCAGCACGGACUUCGGUCUGGUGGCGAGUGGCGAACGGGUGAGUAACAUAUCGGAACGUAUCCAAUAAUGGGGGAUAACGAGUCGAAAGAUUCGCUAAUACCGCAUACGCCCUACGGGGGAAAGCUGGGGACCUUCGGGCCUGGCGUUAAUGGAGCGGCCGAUACCUGAUUAGCUAGUUGGUGAGGUAAAGGCUCACCAAGGCGACGAUCAGUAGCUGGUCUGAGAGGACGACCAGCCACACUGGAACUGAGACACGGUCCAGACUCCUACGGGAGGCAGCAGUGGGGAAUUUUGGACAAUGGGCGCAAGCCUGAUCCAGCCAUUCCGCGUGAGUGAAGAAGGCCUUCGGGUUGUAAAGCUCUUUCGCAAGGGAAGAAAACUUAGCCACUAACAUUGGUUGAGGUUGACGGUACCUUGAUAAGAAGCACCGGCUAACUACGUGCCAGCAGCCGCGGUAA